This is a long non-coding RNA of Bacillus rossius redtenbacheri, 330 nucleotides long. RefSeq lists it as uncharacterized. NCBI's taxonomy places the organism in Eukaryota, Metazoa, Arthropoda, Insecta, Phasmatodea, Bacillidae. The transcript is spliced from 2 exons. The record is from RefSeq and is a predicted model, not a curated record.
AUUUUAUUUUUUUAAAGAGUAAAACACAUGUACACCAAUAUUGCCUUGUUACUAAUUAUGAGAUUUUCAGGCUUGUGGAGAACAGCUUUUUUUUUAUCUACUCUUUGGCUGGCCAAUGUAAAUAAGCAAUGAUAUCAUGAAUGCAGCGAGAGAGUUUAUUUGAUGUAUUUUAAAAUCACUGAUAAUAUUUAUUGGUGUAUUUUAAAAUCACUGAUAAUAUUUAUUGGUGUAUUUUAAAAUCGCUGAUAAUAUUUGUUUUGUGGCUGGAAGAUGGUAACCAUGGUGACUUGUGAAUUUUUAUGAAGGAUUAAUAAAAAGCAGUAAAAAUUA